CUGAUCUACUCACUUCUUUUCAUGACUAAAUUAUGGAGAUGACCUGGAUCUUUGGUGACAAUUUCAUGGAUAUAUAAGAAAAUGAAUAUAUAUACUCAAUAUAUAUUCACAAGUGGAAACUAUAAAGUAGAAAUAUAUCUUUUCAACAUUAUA
Long non-coding RNA from Pipistrellus kuhlii (Kuhl's pipistrelle), 153 nucleotides. RefSeq lists it as uncharacterized. The record is from RefSeq and is a predicted model, not a curated record. NCBI's taxonomy places the organism in Eukaryota, Metazoa, Chordata, Mammalia, Chiroptera, Vespertilionidae. The transcript is spliced from 2 exons.